Clostridiales bacterium GWB2_37_7 is the source of this 83-nucleotide non-coding RNA. The record is from Rfam. NCBI's taxonomy places the organism in Bacteria, Bacillati, Bacillota, Clostridia, Eubacteriales.
UGGAUGGUAUCCCUAUCGGGAGCCGUACCUUAUUUUGAAUUUAAGUAUAAAUUGCUCUGAUCCAUAGGGACGGGGACUAGAAU